UAGCAGCACAUCAUGGUUUACAUACUACAGUCGAUGCGAAUCAUUAUUUGCUGCUCUA
This 58-nucleotide microRNA precursor is filed under the name Pteropus alecto (black flying fox). RNAcentral describes it as "microRNA pal-mir-15b precursor". Its record names the gene pal-mir-15b. The record is from miRBase by way of RNAcentral. Lineage: Eukaryota; Metazoa; Chordata; Mammalia; Chiroptera; Pteropodidae.